CACACACACACACACACACACACACUCAUUCACUCAUAUAUGUUUGUAUGCAGUUGUGAUUGUGUACAUGCCAUCAUUUUUCCCUUCUUAUAGUUUUCCCACUGUUUUUAAGCUGUUCUGUAUCAAAUCUUUGUUUGGUUAAAAUUUAUUAUUUUGAUUCUGAUAGUAUGGAAAUUGGGUCCAAAUUUUGUUUGAAAAUGGAGUUUUUUGUGUUGGGUUCAUGUGUACCUCAUAAGUUUGUUUCAAAAGAAUGGACAUACCUGAAAGGAUGUGGUCCACAAAAUAAGUGGUCUUGCCAUACCUAAAACAUUUACUGUAAAUGUGACUACUAAUUGUGAUUUUCUUUGUCUACACCUAGUCUAAUGCGUUUGUUUCAGCAACUAUUAGGCCGCGAGAAGGUAAUUUUUUCGUGGGCUUUACAACGUCGUCGAACUCGAUCACAAGCACAUCUACUAUCUAAAUGGCAAAAACUUACUUUGUAGUGGGGUAAUACCCAUCACCGUACCACAUCACAGUUACAUGUCCAACCUCGACGUUCGUCUAUUAAAAAUUUGAAAAAUCCACCUAGACAUCAUUUCGAACAGGGCUUGACGUCAGGCGCACCUAAACGAACACAACGACAAGGUAAUCAAUUCUUAAAAAAACAAAUUUACCUUUUAUUCUUUAUCUACCGGAUUUUAUUUCUUUUACACUAAAAUAUUUUUUCGGUAGAGGUUAUGAAUGUUGUGCUUACCCCCCGUCCAUUGGACGUCCACUCAUACAUCAAUUAGAAAUUGGCUCGACGUCAAACCCACCUAAACGAACAAAACUACAAUGUAUUCAAAUCUAUAUAAUAAGGAAACUUUUUUAUUAUAUUAUUUUUCAGAAAUUUUUUUAUUAAUACUACAAUUUUGCCCUUGCCUCUAGCAUGUACUUUUUUUCUCAUGUUAUGUUAGGUAUCUUGAGUGCUAACAAUUUUGUACAUAAAUGACCGACACUUUAUUAUUAUUAAUGCUUUGUUGAUCCAUUCUUUGGU
RNAcentral lists this long non-coding RNA (1015 nucleotides) under Panax ginseng (ginseng). RNAcentral's name for it is "long non-coding RNA (PGIN_LNC010365)". Lineage: Eukaryota; Viridiplantae; Streptophyta; Magnoliopsida; Apiales; Araliaceae. The record is from RNAcentral.